AGGGAUCAUUACAGAGUUGCAAAACUCCCUAAACCAUUGUGAACGUUACCUACAAACCGUUGCUUCGGCGGGCGGCUCCGGGCCCGCCCGGUGCCCCUCGGCCCCCCCAGCGGGGCGCCCGCCGGAGGAAACCCAACUCUUGAUAUCAUGGCCUCUCUGAGUCUUCUGUACUGAAUAAGUCAAAACUUUCAACAACGGAUCUCUUGGUUCUG
RNAcentral lists this unclassified non-coding RNA (212 nucleotides) under uncultured fungus. RNAcentral describes it as "partial contains 18S rRNA, ITS1, 5.8S rRNA, ITS2 and 28S rRNA". Lineage: Eukaryota; Fungi. The record is from RNAcentral.